Molecule: long non-coding RNA, 2839 nt
Filed under: Triticum aestivum (bread wheat)
Lineage: Eukaryota; Viridiplantae; Streptophyta; Magnoliopsida; Poales; Poaceae
Description: long non-coding RNA (TAES_LNC019907)
Source: RNAcentral
AGGUCCGUAUGAUUUGAAAUACUUGCACACAAACCGCUCGAAAGCGUUCCUGGAAAUCUCAGCCCAAAAAAGGACGUUUAGUAAUUCUAAAAGGGACUACAGGAUGAAAAACAAUAGUUUUGGCAGUUAAAGUUUGAGAUUCGAUGGUGCCGUAGAUCCGUUUGGUCAUCAGGUGUAACGAGCCACACACAUGUCUAGCUAGAGUAGUGUGCUAGGCUCAGACUAGAGAAGAAACGGGGAACAAAGUGAUGAAAGAAUGAUCAUACCGAGGGAAUUCACUCAGAACUUACAAGAAUGAUAACGUGCUCCGACUGGAGCGCUUUAGUAACUGCUGGAAGGCUCUAGGCGAAUAAAGAUGGAAUGACUUCUAAUUUUUAGGUCCGUAUGAUUUGAAAUACUUGCACACAAACCACGCAAAACCGUUCCUAGAAAUCUCGGUCGAAAAAAGGACGUUUAGUAAUUCUAAAAGGGACUACAGGAUGAAAAACAAUAGUUUUGGCAGUUAAAGUUUGAGAUUCGAUGGUGCCGUAGAUCCGUUUGGUCAUCAGGUGUUACGAGCCACACCCAUGUCUAGCUAGAGUAGUGUGCUAGGUUCAGACUAGAGAAGAAACGGGGAACAAAGUGAUUAAAGAAUGAUCAUACCGAGGGAAUUCACUCAGAACUAACAAGAAUGAUAACGUGCUCCGACUGGAGCGGUUUAGGAACUGCUGGAAGGCUCUAGGGGAAUAAAGAUGGAAUGACUUCUAAUUUUUACGUCCGUAUGAUUUGAAAUACAUGCACACAAACCACGCAAAAGCGUUCCUGGAAAUCUCAGCCUAAAAAAGGACGUUUAGUAAUUCUAAAAGGGACUACAGGAUGAAAAAUAAUAGUUUGGGCAGUUAAAAUUUGAGAUUCGACGCUGCCGUAGAUCCGUUUGGUCAUCAGGUCUUACGAGCCACACCCAUGUCUAGCUAGAAUAGUGUGUUAGGCUCAGGCUAGAGAAGAAACGGGGAACAAACUGAUGAAAGAAUGAUCAUACCGAGGGAAUUCACUCAGAACUAACAAGAAUGAUAACGUGCUCCGACUGGAGCAGUUUAGAAACUCCUGGAAGGCUCUAGGGGAAUAAAGAUGGAAUGACUUCAAAGUUUUAGGUCCGUAUGAUUUGAAAUACUUGCACACAAACCGCGUGAAAGCGUUCCUGGAAAUCUCAACCCAAAAAAGGGCGUUUAGUAAUUCUAAAAGGGACUACAGGAUGUAAAACAAUAGUUUUGGCAGUUAAAGUUUGAGAUUCGAUGGUGCCGUAGAUCCGUUUGGUCAUCAGGUGUAACGAGCCACACCCAUGUCUAGCUAGAGUAGUGUGCUAGGCUCAGACUAGAGAAGAAACGGGGAACAAAGUGAUGAAAGAAUGAUCAUACCGAGGGAAUUCACUCAUAACUAACAAGAAUGAUAACGUGCUCUGACUUGAGCGGUUUAGGAACUGCUGGAAGGCUAUAGGGGAAUAAAGAUGGAAUGACUUCAAAUUUUUAGGUCCGUAUGAUCUGAAAUACUUGCACACAAACCGCGAGAAAGCGUUCCUGGAAAUCUCAACCCAAAAAAGGACGUUUAGUAAUUCUAAAAGGGACUACAGGAUGAAAAACAAUAGUUCUGGCAGUUAUUGUUUGAGAUUCGAUAAUCUCGUAGAUCCGUUUGGUCAUCAGGUGUAACGAGCCACACCCAUGUCUAGCUAGAGUAGUGUGCUAGGCUCAGACUAGAGAAGAAACGGGGAACAAACUGAUGAAAGAAUGAUCAUACCGAGGGAAUUCACUUAGAACUAACAAGAAUGAUAACGUGCUCCGACUGGAGCGGUUUAGGAACUGCUGGAAGGCUCUAGGGGAAUAAAGAAGGAACGACUUCUAAUUUUUAGGUCCGUAUGAUUUGAAAUAUGUGCACACAAACCACGAGAAAGCGUUCCUAGAAAUCUCGGCCCAAAAGAGGACGUUUAGUAUUCUAAAAGGGACUACAGAAUGAAAAACAAUAGUUUUGGCAGUUAAAGUUUGAGAUUUGACGGUGCCGUAGAUCUGUUUGGUCAUCAGGGGUUACGAGCCACACCCAUGUCUAGCUAGAAUAGUGUGUUAGGCUCAGGCUAGAAAAGAAACGGGGAACAAAGUGAUGAAAGAAUGAUCAUACCGAGGGAAUUCACUCAGAACUAACAAGAAUGAUAACAUGCUCCGACUGGAGCGGUUUAGGAACUGCUGGAAGGCUCUAGGGGAAUAAAGAUGGAAUGACUUCUAAUUUUUAGGUCCGUAUGAUUUGAAAUACUUGCACACAAACCGCGCGAAAGCGUUCCUGGAAAUCUCAGCCCAAAAAAGGACGUUUAGUAAUUCUAAAAGGGACUACAGGAUGAAAAACAAUAGUUUUGGCAGUUAAAGUAUGAGAUUCAACGGUGCCGUAGAUCCGUUUGGUCAUUAGGUGUUACGAGCCACACCCAUGUCUAGCUAGAAUAGUGUGCUAGGCUCAGGCUAGAGAAGAAACGGGGAACAAACUGAUGAAAGAAUGAUCAAACCGAGGGAAUUCACUCAGAACUAACAAUAAUGAUAACGUGCUCCGACUGGAGCGGUUUAGGAACUGCUGGAAGUCUCUAGGGGAAUAAAGAUGGAAUGACUUCUAAUUUUUACGUUCGUAUGAUUUGAAAAACUUGCCCAUAAACCGCGCGAAAGUGUUCCUGGAAAUCUCAGCCCAAAAAAGGACGUUUAGUAAUUUUAAAAGGGACUACACGAUGAAAAACAAUAGUUUUGGCAGGUAAAGUUUGAGAUUCGACAGUGCCGUAGAUCCGUUUGGUCAUCAGGUGUUACGAGCCACACCCAUGUCUAGCUAGAAUAGU